AAACAUUCAGUGUCUCCUCCCUCUGCAUGCACUGAACUUUCCUCAUAGAGAUUCAUUAAUGAAAUUCAUCUAUAUAAGGAGAUGCUGAUUGUCCAGGGCUGUGUUUGAAUCAUACUGGCUCUGACCCUGAUCUGCCUCUUUGUCAGUCUCAGCCAAUCCUAUGGGGAAGCACUGUGAUUGGAUCAGGCCACCACUUCUAAUGAUGUCAGCAGACUGCUUGUUUUUAUGAGUCUAACAGCAUGCCGAGUUACAGCUACAGGCUUGAAUAUAGAUUUUGCUAUAUUUAUGGAGGCAUGAGGGGUCCAGGGGGGGCUAGAUGGUGGUGUUAAUACUAUAGGGUCAUGAAUUCAUGUUUGUGUUCCUGACCCUAUAGUGAUCCUUUAAGGUAAUGCUGACUUUGGUCUCUCUAACACUGUGGCAUGUUCCCUUUCUUCUACACUCACUACAUAUAGCUUUACUCUGUCCCAGACCAUAUACCAGGAUCUUCUGCCUGAUAGUAAGAAGGUAAGGAGACAAGUGGACCAGCGAGUGCUAGGGACAGUCCUUAGAAAGCGUUGAGUGAACGCAUCAUUAGAUGCAUUUAUGCCAAGCUCAGGGUGUUGUCUGCAUAGUAUGCCCUUAGUUGGCCAGCUGCAUGAUUGGCAGGCAGCCUGACAUGCAUUCAUGUCAGGCUGGCCUUCUAAUUCUUUGAGCAGAAAUGUCCUCUUUUUGGGCAUGUUUGCCCAUUUUGGCAGGUUAUGUGAUUUGUGUCAGUGGCAAACCCUUUUACCGUCCCCAUUGACUUCCUGCUUGAUUGGACGUUGCUGUUAGGGGUUAUGGAUUUACUUGAAAGCUGAAAACAUAAAUUAGAGAGAGAUUAGCCUAGGGUAUGUGUUUUCUUAUAGCUGCUGUUUUCUUUCUCUCCAGCACCAUCUCCAUCAGAUACAUGAUGCUUAUGAGUGUUUUACUGUUUUUGGUCUAUAUGAUUCUGUAAUUAGGCCCGUCAGAAUUGUCAGCACCAGGCCCACUGGGCUCUUAAUCUGGCCCUGCCUGG
Pelobates cultripes (western spadefoot toad) is the source of this 1033-nucleotide non-coding RNA. The record is from the annotation of a GenBank genome assembly. NCBI's taxonomy places the organism in Eukaryota, Metazoa, Chordata, Amphibia, Anura, Pelobatidae.